Long non-coding RNA from Hyla sarda, 2317 nucleotides. RefSeq lists it as uncharacterized. The transcript is spliced from 4 exons. The record is from RefSeq and is a predicted model, not a curated record. NCBI's taxonomy places the organism in Eukaryota, Metazoa, Chordata, Amphibia, Anura, Hylidae.
UGAGUAGUCACAGCAACAGUCUCAGCCAGUCAGAGUCCACCCUUCCUCCACCUAGUCUGAUGAGACAAGAAGGGACCCUAAGUUUAAGCAGUCUGGCUUUAGCCAGAGAUGAAGAGAGAAAACCAGCUGCAGUCUCCUGCUCUCGUACCUCAUGCGAGCCCACCAAAUGUUAUCCACGUGUGCUGAACUUCUUACACAUAGAUCCCCCCACCCAGGGUAAAGUCAAGUCACCUCAGUCAAGACUUUGGGGACAAUCGCAUACAUCUGACGGGACCCAUAGCGAAGAUUAGAUAAAGGUGUUAAUAUAUCCCCUGGCCCACAUCUAUCCCUCUUGUCCUCCCUGGUUGUAUGCACAUCAAAAGGAACGCCGUCCAUAAAGAAUCUAGCUUGUGUCUGUCAUCUCCUGUCAAGGGUCACCAGUCAGUGUAAAAUCCCGAGUGAUGGUCUCCACAAGUACUGCAAGUAUGUUUAUUGGACCAGUGGAACUCUGUCUCCAAAAACGGAACGGUUAUCUCUGUAUUGAGUCUGUAUGAAAUUUUGUCAGUAAACUCUAUAAGUGGAUAUCCAAAAUCUCUGCAUUUGAGGAGUUCAUUUUCCUGACGCUUGGAUAUAAUUGACCACUUCCUUUGGAGUUGUGGUAAGUGAACUUAAUCUGCAGGACUAUUACCACCAACAUCUUCAAACACCAGUUUAUACCACUUUCCUGGAAUCACAAACUUUCCAUCAGCCCGCCAAGUAUCUAUGUCACAGUAAUCCACUCCAUACGUCACCCUCUGCUUACCACAAUAACACAGCACUCAGAGAGAAGGUGGUCCAAAUGAGAGAGUCUGAGGGGAAGGACCAGUAAAAGGUCAGUAGUCUGGUUGGAAGUCUCUAUAGAUGAGGUCAGACCAGUAUGUGACUGAAGUAUCACCUCUGCAUUCUAAAGCAGCCAUAAGAAGAUCCAUGGGAGGCGUGCAAGUCUGCCUAUCCAUAUGAAGAGAGGAGAAGGCAAAGGAGAAUAACAGCAGACAGCUUGGGAUGAUGACAACUUCUGCUAAGAAUCCUGAACCAUUUUAGGAUUGACACUUGUUCCUAGAAGCAUGGCUCGGAUGUCAUUGUGGAGAUAGAAAAAAGCAAGGCAGGUGAAUCAGCUCACUCCAGAUGCCGUCUCUGAGGCGUGGACCGGUGUGGACCCCACCGAAACUAAUAGCAAAACAAAAAGGAGAAUGUCCAGCCUUCCAGCUCGUGGAUGCGAUGCUUGACUUUAUUCACAGGAUGGCUACAUAAAAACAAAGUAAAGUCGAUGAAAAACAGGAAACAGGAAUCAAACAUCCAGAACUGCAGAUCACAGAUGGACGGGUCGGCAGACAUCAAAGAUGAGAACAUUGUUGAAAUGAAGGAAGAAUGGAGCAGGAACUUUAUCAUGAUGAAGUGAAGAAGGUUCAUCUUGAAAGAGAUUAGACUUGGAAGCCAGAAGUCAUCAAAUCUAAUAUUCUAGAAAAAGAGGACAAAGAAUUAAGGGUAGUGUAUUGGGAGGGAUAUUAUUCGCCUCCUGUCGUUUAUAAAAUCUAUAUUUUCCAUCACAGAGGUUAGGAAAGUCUUAAAUUUUAUGUCCGAAUGCUCAUAAUAUGCUAGUUUAAAGCUUAAACAUUCAUAUACCUCUAAUAAACAGUUAAUAAGUACAGUUAUAAUACAGACAUUGAAGCAUGACGUUCGGGUCUGAAAUAGAAGGUUUUAAAGGUGGAUUCUGACAACCAGUCAGCAGCUUUUAGAAUGUCAGAAAGGGAGCCACCCAAUAAAGCAGUCUUAGUAGACAUAGCACCCCUGACGGAAUGAGCACCGAAGAGGGAUAUAUCAAUGUCGGCAAGAGCCAUUGUAGAUCUAACCCAUCUUGCCAAAGGGGAAGAGGAAACCGGAAGAUGGAGGUUUGUGAAAGGAGAUGAGGAGUUGAGAAGAUCUAGGAGAUCUUAGGGAUGAAGUUUUGAGUUCAUAAGUUCGUAAGCAGGAAACGACACAUAAAUCUGGUCGGUUAAUAAAAUAUGGAUAAAAAACUGAUUGAAGACCAAUUUUUGUAUGCCUACAAUUUUCAAAACGGACACCAUGAGGGGAGAAAGAUCUGUGAAAUAAAUCCAAUGAGUGGACAUCGGAAACCCUUUUUAUGGAGAUUAAACAUAAUAACAUGGUUUAAAGGAUAGAAAUUUGAGUGAUAAAGAGUCGUUCUCAGACCAAGAAGAUAGAAUGGCAAGUACUAAAGAUACGUCCCAGGUGGAACAAUAUUUGGGGAGAGGAGGUCUUUUGAAGCAAAUAGCUUGAAGUAAUUUGCAUAUUAAUGGAU